UUAAACAAUCCAUGGCCCUGAGUGAGCCCCGAGAAUUGUUCAUCUUAUGGCUUCCUAACAACUGUUCUUUCCUUGUCAGCUGUUCUUUGUCUGGCCUCAUGGAUUUUCACAUAGAUUAGUUUUUAGCCACAGAUCCAAAUUUCAAAACUCUUUCUUUGCCUGGCUCCCUCCUCCCAGGAACUGUGCCCUGCAAAUUCUAGCUGUAAUUCUAGAGACCACAGGGUUCUACUUACGUGUGAUCUUUCUGUGCCAGUACCCAGGAGCUGCCAUUCCUUCUGCCUGAAAUGUCUUUUCCUUCUCCACCCAGGCCCCAUAUUCUCACUCUCCCUUCAUCUUCCAUGACGAACAUGCCCAAAUGUCUCCUUCUCAGCCUUGCCUACAGCUCAGUGUAGACACCUUGACUUGGCACUCAUUAGGAUGGCUGCCUUUUCAACAGAUGAUAAGCAGGGGCAGGAACCCUGCCUUUUGGACCUCUGUGUUCCCAGCACCAGCACAGUUCCUAGCACAGAGUAGGUCCUUGAUAAUUUUUUUUAAGUCAGCCCAAUAUUUCCUCUUUAAUCCAUCUGCUCCACCAGAGAGGAAAGAGAACAUGGGACAACACUGAGGUCAGUGAGGACCUAUGUGGGACCUAAGGACCAGGAGGAGAUGCUUGGUGAAAGAGCUGUGGGAAGGAAAGAUUCCUGAAGCAGAGGGAGAGAGCAAGUCAGAGCAAAGCUUUCACAGGCAGGAAUCAGAUGUGUAUGAACUCAAUUCUCAACAGUCCCUUGUCAAAGGUGGAAUUGGCCGCUGACCACAGAAUUAGCCCUCCGACCCACGGCACCUGCUAAGAACCUUGCCCUCUAAUGUCCAGCCUCCCACUGACACCUGUGGGGAGAGCCUGGAAGAAUGUGCCGAGUGAGCAGCCCAGAGACCCCACAAGUGAUUGUUUCAUCUUUUGCCUCCUGGAUUUGCCUCCUCCUGCACCUGCAUGAAGACCACCAGCUGCUGUCAGCAGAGAGUGCUCUUUCCUUGGAGAGCUCACUGCCUACACCACAGCCAGAGCCACCGGCCGAUCUAGCAGAAGCCUUGCUGGAGGCCAAGACCUCAGGAAGAAACAUGAGACCGUGAAGACUGAUCUGGCCACGUCUCUCUGGCUUGAUUUGGAAAUGGGCACAUCAUUUUGCCCCGUUUGGCAACUGUGAGAAGAAAGGGAAUAUUUGUUUUACUUCCUGUUUCCUCUCAUUGACUUCUUCAUUCUCCAAAUAAAGUUAUCUUGAAGU
Canis lupus familiaris (dog) is the source of this 1259-nucleotide long non-coding RNA. RefSeq lists it as uncharacterized. The record is from RefSeq and is a predicted model, not a curated record. The transcript has 4 exons. Lineage: Eukaryota; Metazoa; Chordata; Mammalia; Carnivora; Canidae.